Molecule: ribosomal RNA, 253 nt
Filed under: uncultured bacterium
Lineage: Bacteria
Description: partial 16S ribosomal RNA
Rfam family: Bacterial small subunit ribosomal RNA
Source: RNAcentral
UACGUAGGGUGCAAGCGUUGUCCGGAAUUAUUGGGCGUAAAGAGCUCGUAGGCGGUCUGUCGCGUCGGAUGUGAAAACCCAGGGCUCAACCCUGGGCCUGCAUUCGAUACGGGCAGACUAGAGUUCGGUAGGGGAGACUGGAAUUCCUGGUGUAGCGGUGAAGUGCGCAGAUAUCAGGAGGAACACCGAUGGCGAAGGCAGGUCUCUGGGCAUUAACUGACGCUGAGGAGCGAAAGCAUGGGGAGCGAACAGG